CAAGAAUCGAGGCUGACGGUGCCUACUCCCUAGGCUCCGUCCAGUCCCGCUCUCUACCUUGCCUACUGCACCGUUUGUUGCUUCCUGGCGGCGUCCCGCCGCCAGGGCCUUUUGAAAGCCAAGUAUAAGCAUUGAAACUUCUGACAUACACUAAAUCGUA
Molecule: unclassified non-coding RNA, 160 nt
Filed under: soil metagenome
Description: partial internal transcribed spacer 1
Source: RNAcentral